This 1352-nucleotide ribosomal RNA is filed under the name uncultured bacterium. RNAcentral describes it as "bacterial SSU rRNA". It matches the Rfam family "Bacterial small subunit ribosomal RNA", at positions 28 to 1381 of the family's 1533-position model. The record is from RNAcentral.
AUUGAACGCUGGCGGCAUGCCUUACACAUGCAAGUCGAACGGCAGCACGGAGCUUGCUCUGGUGGCGAGUGGCGAACGGGUGAGUAAUAUAUCGGAACGUACCCUAGAGUGGGGGAUAACGUAGCGAAAGUUACGCUAAUACCGCAUACGAUCUAUGGAUGAAAGUGGGGGAUCGCAAGACCUCAUGCUCGUGGAGCGGCCGAUAUCUGAUUAGCUAGUUGGUAGGGUAAAAGCCUACCAAGGCAUCGAUCAGUAGCUGGUCUGAGAGGACGACCAGCCACACUGGAACUGAGACACGGUCCAGACUCCUACGGGAGGCAGCAGUGGGGAAUUUUGGACAAUGGGCGAAAGCCUGAUCCAGCAAUGCCGCGUGAGUGAAGAAGGCCUUCGGGUUGUAAAGCUCUUUUGUCAGGGAAGAAACGGUGAAAGCUAAUAUCUUUUGCUAAUGACGGUACCUGAAGAAUAAGCACCGGCUAACUACGUGCCAGCAGCCGCGGUAAUACGUAGGGUGCAAGCGUUAAUCGGAAUUACUGGGCGUAAAGCGUGCGCAGGCGGUUUUGUAAGUCUGAUGUGGAAUCCCCGGGCUCAACCUGGGAAUUGCAUUGGAGACUGCAAGGCUAGAAUCUGGCAGAGGGGGGUAGAAUUCCACGUGUAGCAGUGAAAUGCGUAGAUAUGUGGAGGAACACCGAUGGCGAAGGCAGCCCCCUGGGUCAAGAUUGACGCUCAUGCACGAAAGCGUGGGGAGCAAACAGGAUUAGAUACCCUGGUAGUCCACGCCCUAAACGAUGUCUACUAGUUGUCGGGUCUUAAUUGACUUGGUAACGCAGCUAACGCGUGAAGUAGACCGCCUGGGGAGUACGGUCGCAAGAUUAAAACUCAAAGGAAUUGACGGGGACCCGCACAAGCGGUGGAUGAUGUGGAUUAAUUCGAUGCAACGCGAAAAACCUUACCUACCCUUGACAUGGCUGGAAUCCCGGAGAGAUUUGGGAGUGCUCGAAAGAGAACCAGUACACAGGUGCUGCGUGGCUGUCGUCAGCUCGUGUCGUGAGAUGUUGGGUUAAGUCCCGCAACGAGCGCAACCCUUGUCAUUAGUUGCUACGAAAGGGCACUCUAAUGAGACUGCCGGUGACAAACCGGAGGAAGGUGGGGAUGACGUCAAGUCCUCAUGGCCCUUAUGGGUAGGGCUUCACACGUCAUACAAUGGUACAUACAGAGCGCCGCCAACCCGCGAGGGGGAGCUAAUCGCAGAAAGUGUAUCGUAGUCCGGAUUGUAGUCUGCAACUCGACUGCAUGAAGUUGGAAUCGCUAGUAAUCGCGGAUCAGCAUGUCGCGGUGAAUACGUUCCCGGGUCU